UUGAUAUGGCCGCCCCUCGACUUUUCUUCUCUCAAUAAUCAUUAUUCACUUUUAAUUAAAACGUUGGAAAGGGAAACAAAUUAAAUGAAAAAAAAGCAAGAUCCCAUUUCUCUCUCUAAAACCAAAAGUCACCCUUCCUUCCAUCUCUAUAUCUCACGAUGUUGAAACAAGUUCAAGUCCUCACAAAAACAAAUACAAUCAAAAGAAAUAGAACAAACCCCUUUUAAAUUGCUCCAACACAAAUUGAAACAAAAUCACCCCUUUAGAUCCAAUUUCAACAAAAAAAACUAUCCCCUCUAACCAAAAUCAUAUGAACGGAAACGAAACUUCAACCUACAUUCAUGGCAGAAAUCAAAGAUUGAUUCACCGGCACACCAUCAUAUGUUCGAAAAUCAUAAAGGAACACACAUUCAGUUUGAGAAAAAAAAAACUUCGUGCCGGUUUCAGAAGAUGAUUCAUCAAAACUAUUACUUUCGAAAAUCAACACUCAAUAAGUCAAACACCCACUUCACAAGCAUCACAAUAAAAAUGAAAGGAAAUAGAGAUUCAGAGAUGGAUACCAAACAAAAAUUUCGCUUCGAAGCUGAUUCCGGCAAAGAGACAAAAGCAAAGAGACAAAGAGUUUCUCUGCUCAGAGACAAAGAGCUUCUCUACUCAAAGACAAAGACAUAUGUGGCAGGCUGAAAUUGUGAACUAAUGUAAAGAACUCUCUUGGUUUUGUUACUGCUAAUGUCAAGUUGUAAAUGAAUUGAAAGUAUAAAAACUUUUGGUUUUGUAGUAACUUGUUUGUAAUGUUACUUGAAAAUAUAUAAAUAUGUUUGCUGAUUCUUUUUUAAA
Lathyrus oleraceus (garden pea) is the source of this 837-nucleotide long non-coding RNA. RefSeq lists it as uncharacterized. The transcript is spliced from 2 exons. NCBI's taxonomy places the organism in Eukaryota, Viridiplantae, Streptophyta, Magnoliopsida, Fabales, Fabaceae. The record is from RefSeq and is a predicted model, not a curated record.